AAAUUGAAGAGUUUGAUCAUGGCUCAGAUUGAACGCUGGCGGCAGGCCUAACACAUGCAAGUCGAGCGGUAGCACAGAGAGCUUGCUCUCGGGUGACGAGCGGCGGACGGGUGAGUAAUGUCUGGGAAACUGCCUGAUGGAGGGGGAUAACUACUGGAAACGGUAGCUAAUACCGCAUAACGUCGCAAGACCAAAGUGGGGGACCUUCGGGCCUCAUGCCAUCAGAUGUGCCCAGAUGGGAUUAGCUAGUAGGUGGGGUAACGGCUCACCUAGGCGACGAUCCCUAGCUGGUCUGAGAGGAUGACCAGCCACACUGGAACUGAGACACGGUCCAGACUCCUACGGGAGGCAGCAGUGGGGAAUAUUGCACAAUGGGCGCAAGCCUGAUGCAGCCAUGCCGCGUGUGUGAAGAAGGCCUUCGGGUUGUAAAGCACUUUCAGCGGGGAGGAAGGCGNAAGGUUAAUANNNNNNCGAUUGACGUUACCCGCAGAAGAAGCACCGGCUAACUCCGUGCCAGCAGCCGCGGUAAUACGGAGGGUGCAAGCGUUAAUCGGAAUUACUGGGCGUAAAGCGCACGCAGGCGGUCUGUCAAGUCGGAUGUGAAAUCCCCGGGCUCAACCUGGGAACUGCAUUCGAAACUGGCAGGCUAGAGUCUUGUAGAGGGGGGUAGAAUUCCAGGUGUAGCGGUGAAAUGCGUAGAGAUCUGGAGGAAUACCGGUGGCGAAGGCGGCCCCCUGGACAAAGACUGACGCUCAGGUGCGAAAGCGUGGGGAGCAAACAGGAUUAGAUACCCUGGUAGUCCACGCCGUAAACGAUGUCGAUUUGGAGGUUGUGCCCUUGAGGCGUGGCUUCCGGAGCUAACGCGUUAAAUCGACCGCCUGGGGAGUACGGCCGCAAGGUUAAAACUCAAAUGAAUUGACGGGGGCCCGCACAAGCGGUGGAGCAUGUGGUUUAAUUCGAUGCAACGCGAAGAACCUUACCUGGUCUUGACAUCCACAGAACUUUCCAGAGAUGGAUUGGUGCCUUCGGGAACUGUGAGACAGGUGCUGCAUGGCUGUCGUCAGCUCGUGUUGUGAAAUGUUGGGUUAAGUCCCGCAACGAGCGCAACCCUUAUCCUUUGUUGCCAGCGGUNCGGCCGGGAACUCAAAGGAGACUGCCAGUGAUAAACUGGAGGAAGGUGGGGAUGACGUCAAGUCAUCAUGGCCCUUACGACCAGGGCUACACACGUGCUACAAUGGCAUAUACAAAGAGAAGCGACCUCGCGAGAGCAAGCGGACCUCAUAAAGUAUGUCGUAGUCCGGAUUGGAGUCUGCAACUCGACUCCAUGAAGUCGGAAUCGCUAGUAAUCGUAGAUCAGAAUGCUACGGUGAAUACGUUCCCGGGCCUUGUACACACCGCCCGUCACACCAUGGGAGUGGGUUGCAAAAGAAGUAGGUAGCUUAACCUUCGGGAGGGCGCUUACCACUUUGUGAUUCAUGACUGGGGUGAAGUCGUAACAAGGUAACCGUAGGGGAACCUGCGGUUGGAUCACCUCCUUA
This 1538-nucleotide ribosomal RNA is filed under the name Klebsiella pneumoniae. Its description in RNAcentral is "bacterial SSU rRNA". It matches the Rfam family "Bacterial small subunit ribosomal RNA". Lineage: Bacteria; Pseudomonadati; Pseudomonadota; Gammaproteobacteria; Enterobacterales; Enterobacteriaceae. The record is from RNAcentral.